RNAcentral lists this ribosomal RNA (253 nucleotides) under uncultured bacterium. RNAcentral describes it as "partial 16S ribosomal RNA". It matches the Rfam family "Bacterial small subunit ribosomal RNA", at positions 524 to 776 of the family's 1533-position model. The record is from RNAcentral.
UACGGAGGGUGCGAGCGUUGUUCGGAAUUACUGGGCGUAAAGCGCGUGUAGGCGGCCUUCUAAGUCUGGUGUGAAAGCCCGGGGCUCAACCCCGGAAGUGCAUUGGAUACUGGGAGGCUGGAGUACCGGAGAGGAGGGUGGAAUUCCUGGUGUAGCGGUGAAAUGCGUAGAUAUCUGGAGGAAUACCGGUGGCGAAGGCGGCAUCCUGGACCAUUACUGACGCUGAGGCGCGAAAGCGAGGGGAGCAAACAGG